RNAcentral lists this small nuclear RNA (129 nucleotides) under Sorex araneus (European shrew). RNAcentral describes it as "U4 spliceosomal RNA (ENSSARG00000015099.1)". It matches the Rfam family "U4 spliceosomal RNA". From Rfam's summary of the family: U4 small nuclear RNA (U4 snRNA) is a component of the major U2-dependent spliceosome. Lineage: Eukaryota; Metazoa; Chordata; Mammalia; Eulipotyphla; Soricidae. The record is from RNAcentral.
AGUUUUGCGCAGUAGCAGUAUCGUAGCCAACGAGAUUUAUCUGAGGCUCGAUUAUUGCUAAUUGAAAACUUUUCCCAAUAGUUUGGCUGGAUUUGGUUGCCCAGGUGCUUGCCAUGCAUGGCCUGUGCC